AACGAUAAAGGCAAACCCGUCGAAAGGCGGGGGCGCAAAGCCAUGGGUCUAAAGCGUUAGCUAUGAUCGCCAGGCCGCCGGAC
RNAcentral lists this non-coding RNA (83 nucleotides) under Clostridiales bacterium PH28_bin88. RNAcentral's name for it is "c-di-GMP-I-GGC riboswitch aptamer". It matches the Rfam family "c-di-GMP-I-GGC riboswitch aptamer". Lineage: Bacteria; Bacillati; Bacillota; Clostridia; Eubacteriales. The record is from Rfam by way of RNAcentral. RNAcentral also lists the same sequence under 1 other name.